Molecule: long non-coding RNA, 100 nt
Organism: Sapajus apella (tufted capuchin)
Lineage: Eukaryota; Metazoa; Chordata; Mammalia; Primates; Cebidae
Exons: 3
Source: RefSeq, a predicted model, not a curated record
GAUACAGCUGGCAACUGUCUUCCUCUUCCAAGAACACUUUCUUUACUUGGUUUCUAGGUCUUCUUGCUAUAUCUUUGUCUAUUUCUCAAUUAUUUCUCGU